This 468-nucleotide ribosomal RNA is filed under the name uncultured bacterium. RNAcentral describes it as "partial 16S ribosomal RNA". It matches the Rfam family "Bacterial small subunit ribosomal RNA", at positions 28 to 507 of the family's 1533-position model. The record is from RNAcentral.
GACGAACGCUGGCGGCGUGCUUAACACAUGCAAGUCUAACGGAAAGGCCCUGCUUUUGUGGGUUGCUCGAGUGGCGAACGGGUUAGUAACACGUGAGUAACCUGUCCUUGACUUUGGGAUAACUUCAGGAAACUGGGGCUAAUACCGGAUAGGAGCUCCUGCUGCAUGGUGGGGGUUGGAAAGUUUCGGCGGUUGGGGAUGGUCUCGCGGCUUAUCAGCUUGUUGGUGGGGUAGUGGCUUACCAAGGCUUUGACGGGUAGCCGGCCUGAGAGGGUGACCGGCCACAUUGGGACUGAGAUACGGCCCAGACUCCUACGGGAGGCAGCAGUGGGGAAUAUUGCACAAUGGGCGGAAGCCUGAUGCAGCAACGCCGCGUGCGGGAUGACGGCCUUCGGGUUGUAAACCGCUUUCGCCUGUGACGAAGCGUGAGUGACGGUAAUGGGUAAAGAAGCACCGGCUAACUACGUG